This is a small nuclear RNA of Pteronotus mesoamericanus, 105 nucleotides long. NCBI's taxonomy places the organism in Eukaryota, Metazoa, Chordata, Mammalia, Chiroptera, Mormoopidae. The record is from RefSeq and is a predicted model, not a curated record.
GUGCUCACUUCAGCAACAUAUACUAAAUCUGGAAUGACACAGAGAAGAUUAGAAUGGCCCCUAUGCAAGGAUGACAUGCAAAUUUGUGAAGCAUUCCAUGGUUUU